RNAcentral lists this transfer RNA (67 nucleotides) under Marmota monax (woodchuck). Its description in RNAcentral is "tRNA.Ala". It matches the Rfam family "tRNA". Rfam says of the family: Transfer RNA (tRNA) molecules are approximately 80 nucleotides in length. Their secondary structure includes four short double-helical elements and three loops (D, anti-codon, and T loops). Lineage: Eukaryota; Metazoa; Chordata; Mammalia; Rodentia; Sciuridae. The record is from RNAcentral.
GGUUGUAGCUCAGUGGAAGAGCACUUGCCUAGCAUGUGUGAGGCACUGGGUUCAAUCCUCAGCACCA